GGAGAGGUGGCAGAGCGGUUGAAUGCGGCGGUCUUGAAAACCGCUUUCCGCGUAAUGCGGAACGGGGGUUCGAAUCCCUCCCUCUCCGCCA
RNAcentral lists this transfer RNA (91 nucleotides) under Limisphaerales bacterium. Its description in RNAcentral is "Verrucomicrobia subdivision 3 bacterium (hot springs metagenome) tRNA-Ser". It matches the Rfam family "tRNA". Rfam says of the family: Transfer RNA (tRNA) molecules are approximately 80 nucleotides in length. The record is from RNAcentral. Lineage: Bacteria; Pseudomonadati; Verrucomicrobiota; Verrucomicrobiia; Limisphaerales.